GACGAACGCUGGCGGCGUGCUUAACACAUGCAAGUCGAACGGAAAGGCCCUGCUUUUGUGGGGUGCUCGAGUGGCGAACGGGUGAGUAACACGUGAGUAACCUGCCCUUGACUUUGGGAUAACUUCAGGAAACUGGGGCUAAUACCGGAUAGGAGCUCCUGCUGCAUGGUGGGGGUUGGAAAGUUUCGGCGGUUGGGGAUGGACUCGCGGCUUAUCAGCUUGUUGGUGGGGUAGUGGCUUACCAAGGCUUUGACGGGUAUCCGGCCUGAGAGGGUGACCGGCCACAUUGGGACUGAGAUACGGCCCAGACUCCUACGGGAGACAGCAGUGGGGAAUAUUGCACAAUGGGCGGAAGCCUGAUGCAGCAACGCCGCGUGCGGGAUGACGGCCUUCGGGUUGUAAACCGCUUUCGCCUGUGACGAAGCGUGAGUGACGGUAAUGGGUAAAGAAGCACCGGCUAACUACGUG
Molecule: ribosomal RNA, 468 nt
Filed under: uncultured bacterium
Lineage: Bacteria
Description: partial 16S ribosomal RNA
Rfam family: Bacterial small subunit ribosomal RNA
Source: RNAcentral